GCCGUUGUAGACCAAGGUCGGUCGCCCUCUUUCUGUGAGCAGUUGGCUCUCAAAUUUGUCAGAGGGACGUGGCGGUUCAAAUCCGCCCGAUGGCA
Molecule: non-coding RNA, 95 nt
Organism: Mycena capillaripes
Lineage: Eukaryota; Fungi; Basidiomycota; Agaricomycetes; Agaricales; Mycenaceae
Source: the annotation of a GenBank genome assembly